This 445-nucleotide ribosomal RNA is filed under the name uncultured bacterium. RNAcentral's name for it is "partial 16S ribosomal RNA". It matches the Rfam family "Bacterial small subunit ribosomal RNA", at positions 354 to 796 of the family's 1533-position model. The record is from RNAcentral.
GUGAGGAAUAUUGGUCAAUGGGCGGGAGCCUGAACCAGCCAAGUCGCGUGAAGGAAGAAGGAUCUAUGGUUCGUAAACUUCUUUUGCAGGGGAAUAAAGUGCAGGACGUGUCCUGUUUUGUAUGUACCCUGAGAAUAAGGAUCGGCUCACUCCGUGCCAGCAGCCGCGGUAAUACGGAGGAUCCGAGCGUUAUCCGGAUUUAUUGGGUUUAAAGGGUGCGUAGGUGGUUUGAUAAGUCAGCGGUGAAAGUUUGCAGCUUAACUGUGAAAAUGCCGUUGAAACUGUCGGACUUGAGUAUAAAUGAGGUAGGCGGAAUGUGUGGUGUAGCGGUGAAAUGCAUAGAUAUCACGCAGAACUCCGAUUGCGAAGGCAGCUUACUAAGCUACAACUGACACUGAAGCACGAAAGCGUGGGGAUCAAACAGGAUUAGAAACCCUAGUAGUCC